GGGGAUGUGGCUCAGUGGUAGGGCACUUGCCUGGUAUGCAUGAGGCCCUGGAUUUGAUCACCAGCAGCCA
RNAcentral lists this transfer RNA (70 nucleotides) under Ictidomys tridecemlineatus (thirteen-lined ground squirrel). Its description in RNAcentral is "Spermophilus tridecemlineatus (thirteen-lined ground squirrel) tRNA". It matches the Rfam family "tRNA". Rfam says of the family: Transfer RNA (tRNA) molecules are approximately 80 nucleotides in length. Their secondary structure includes four short double-helical elements and three loops (D, anti-codon, and T loops). Further hydrogen bonds mediate the characteristic L-shaped molecular structure. tRNAs have two regions of fundamental functional importance: the anti-codon, which is responsible for specific mRNA codon recognition, and the 3' end, to which the tRNAs corresponding amino acid is attached (by aminoacyl-tRNA synthetases). tRNAs cope with the degeneracy of the genetic code in two manners: having more than one tRNA (with a specific anti-codon) for a particular amino acid; and 'wobble' base-pairing, i.e. permitting non-standard base-pairing at the 3rd anti-codon position. Lineage: Eukaryota; Metazoa; Chordata; Mammalia; Rodentia; Sciuridae. The record is from Rfam by way of RNAcentral.